RNAcentral lists this ribosomal RNA (393 nucleotides) under Triticum aestivum (bread wheat). RNAcentral's name for it is "partial small subunit ribosomal RNA". Lineage: Eukaryota; Viridiplantae; Streptophyta; Magnoliopsida; Poales; Poaceae. The record is from RNAcentral.
AUUCAUCCGGUAUUUCACGUUUCUCAAUUGAAGCCAUUCACCGCCGACUAUACUCCGGUGUUCAACCAGUUGCCAGCCCCACCAAACCUCACCAUUGGCGAUCUGGUACCCGAGGCGAUUCUGGAGCGUCGCUUGGUCAAGCAAGGUAACACAGCGGUGCCUCAGGUACUUGUGCAUUGGCGUACGUUGUCUCCGGCGAGUUCCACUUGGGAAAAUUUUAAUGUCCUCCAGCAACGUUUUCCGACGAUGGACCUCGAAGCAGGGGCUCCGUUUCAAGGAGGGGCGAAUGUCAUGCCCUCCACUCCAGUCACGCCCCAGGCUGAAGCAGAGGCGGACAGAGAGGCACAAGUGCAGCAACAGGAACUUGGAGGAGAAGAAGAACUGGACCCAUAG